AUACCAAGAUAAGAAAGAGGAAAAAACUGAUCAAGAAGUGGAAUUUCUAAGCUGUCCAGUUUCAGGGCUUCUCUUUCUUGGCAGGGAGACCGUGUGAAGCUGUAGCUGUAGCUCUGCUCCGUUCAAACCUCUGCCAAAGGAGAGUUGCCCUGUAGCAGGACCCAGCUUAAGGUUCAUGAUUCUAGGGACCAUUGAUGAUUGUUUCAAGAUUUCAGCUACACUGAAAUUUAGUGUUAUGCCUGCCAAGGGUGAUGCAAAGGUUUACUGCUACGUUGUAACAAGAGCUUUAUUAUAUGGAUGAAGAAUGGUCAUCAGCAGCUCAGUGCCAUCUAUAUCUGCUAACCUCUGAAUUUUUGUUCGUAAAAUCAUGUAUGCUGAAUCAGGUACAUGUAUAUUCAGUAAUCUCAUUGGAAACUUUUCUCCAAGACAUUGCCUUGGAACCUGAAACUAUAAUAUUUUAACAGCAGUCACUGCCUAGUUUUGGAUAAUCCAUUGGUCAUGAUUCAGUGUCAA
Panicum virgatum (switchgrass) is the source of this 513-nucleotide long non-coding RNA. RefSeq lists it as uncharacterized. Lineage: Eukaryota; Viridiplantae; Streptophyta; Magnoliopsida; Poales; Poaceae. The transcript has 2 exons. The record is from RefSeq and is a predicted model, not a curated record.